UACGGAGGGGGUUAGCGUUGUUCGGAAUGACUGGGCGUAAAGCGCGCGUAGGCGGAUCAGGAAGUUGGGGGUGAAAUCCCGGGGCUCAACCCCGGAAUGGCCUUCAAAACUCCUGGUCUUGAGUUCGAGAGAGGUGAGUGGAAUUCCGAGUGUAGAGGUGAAAUUCGUAGAUAUUCGGAGGAACACCAGUGGCGAAGGCGGCUCACUGGCUCGACACUGACGCUGAGGAGCGAAAGCCAGGGGAGCAAACGGGA
RNAcentral lists this ribosomal RNA (254 nucleotides) under uncultured bacterium. RNAcentral describes it as "partial 16S ribosomal RNA". It matches the Rfam family "Bacterial small subunit ribosomal RNA", at positions 524 to 777 of the family's 1533-position model. The record is from RNAcentral.